This 502-nucleotide ribosomal RNA is filed under the name uncultured bacterium. Its description in RNAcentral is "partial 16S ribosomal RNA". It matches the Rfam family "Bacterial small subunit ribosomal RNA", at positions 30 to 523 of the family's 1533-position model. The record is from RNAcentral.
AUUGAACGCUGGCGGCAUGCCUUACACAUGCAAGUCGAACGGCAGCACGGGUGCUUGCACCUGGUGGCGAGUGGCGAUCGGGUGAGUAAUACAUCGGAACGUACCUUAUCGUGGGGGAUAACGCAGCGAAAGCUGUGCUAAUACCGCAUACGCCCUGAGGGGGAAAGCGGGGGAUCGCAAGACCUCGCGCGAUUAGAGCGGCCGAUGCCUGAUUAGCUUGUUGGUGGGGUAAAAGCCCAUCAAGGCGACGAUCAGUAGCUGGUCUGAGAGGACGAUCAGCCACACUGGGACUGAGACACGGCCCAGACUCCUACGGGAGGCAGCAGUGGGGAAUUUUGGACAAUGGGGGGCAACCCUGAUCCAGCAAUGCCGCGUGAGUGAAGAAGGCCUUCGGGUUGUAAAGCUCUUUUGUCAGGGAAGAAACACCGGCUCUAACACAGUCUGGGAAUGACGGUACCUGAAGAACAAGCACCGGCUAACUACGUGCCAGCCGCCGCGGUAA